RNAcentral lists this ribosomal RNA (232 nucleotides) under uncultured bacterium. Its description in RNAcentral is "partial 16S ribosomal RNA". It matches the Rfam family "Bacterial small subunit ribosomal RNA", at positions 118 to 346 of the family's 1533-position model. The record is from RNAcentral.
UGAGGAACAUGACUUUCGGCGGGGGAUAGCCGGCCCAACGGCCGGGUAAUACCGCGUACGACCACAUGGGGACAUCCCUGAGUGGUGAAAGCAGCAAUGCGCCGAUGGAGUGCCUCGCGGCCUAUCAGCUAGCUGGUGAGGUAACGGCUCACCAAGGCAACGACGGGUAGCUGGUCUGAGAGGAUGGCCAGCCACAUUGGGACUGAGACACGGCCCAGAUCCCGUAACGGGG